GCCGUGGGCGCGGAGCGGGGCCGGGCCGGGGCCGCCGCCCGUGCGAUUCGUGUCCGUGGCGGCGCCGGGGCCGCGCUGGCGGCCUGGCCGCGGCGUCGGUACAAAGAACAAAACCAGGCAGGCAGACCAGGCAGCCAAGGAUGGUAGUCCAUCUACUGAAGAGGCUCUUAAAAACCACCUUCCCGGAGAGUUCCUCCCUCUCCUCCCGCCCGGGACCCCACUGAGGCAGACCUGCACGCUCGCAUCCAGCUCAGCAAACCCUGUGGAGGGGGCCCGGCGUCCAGGGUGGCCGUUUUCCAGGUGACAAGGAGCAGCAGCAUAACAUGAGGAAAGGAAAACACUUUCAAGCAGGCGGUGCCCUGCAUAGCCUGGUAAUACUGCACUGGGGAGUGGAAAGGGUGCGUUAGUGCUGACCACUUUCUCCAAGAAGCUUGGGGCUUGCCACAGCUUCAGAGACCUCCUUUUUUUUUUUUUUCUUCCUUUUUUUUUUUUUUUUUUUUAAGGAUAAGGAGGGAAAGAGGGGAGAACUUUCAGACUGCAAACUAGAUGCUCAUUCCUUUGGGGCAGUGAAAUGCAUCCCUGAAGGCUCUCAGCCUUCUUGACUCCUAAAGAAACAGUGGGAGCCCCCAGACUUCAUCACCCUCCCCUCUGUAAAGUAACCUGAGGCCUCCGGGAUGGUCAGACGUUUGGAGCUGGUUGAGACAAGCCAUGCACCAUGUGCACAAGAAGCUGAACAAGGGGAAUCUAGAUGCGCUCCUGGGGGUUUUCCCUCUAGUUUAAGAUUGACUUCCCUGCAAGGGAAAAAAACAUCUGAGCUUGUGUCUUCUGCUUGUUCUGCAGGACAAGCAAGAGGCUGGAAAGGUUAAAAUAUAAUUCUGCUGCGUUCUUUGAUGAAAGACGUUCAGCUCUUCUGUAGCCUGAAAGGUCCUGCAGUGGCUUGGUCACAGGAGACAAGAAAUGAACACCAGCAAGGGAAUAAUGUUCUGUUAGACACAGUGCUAUCGGCUGACUUUUAGUACCAUCACCUGAACAUCACCUGAAUCAGUGACUGAUUAGCAGCUGGGACAAUGAUGCCUUUUUCAAAGACUAAGGGCCACAAACCCUGCAAAAAGCUUUCCUCACCAACAAAGGAAGGCAAAGGCAGGAUUAUCCUGAACUGGGACUACACAACCAGUGCGCUCUCUUGAACUGGAAAGGAAGCUGCUGCUUCAAAGGAAGACACAGAAAGCUUACUGAGCAACUGAGCAGAUGGGGGAAGUCUGUCCUACACCAGGUUUCAAAUUGUCAGGAGUUACCUUCAGCUCCAGUAUUGUAUCCUCACCAAUGCUUCAUUAGCAUGAACUCUGGAAACACUUGGUGCCAUAUAAACAUGCACUUCAUGUGGGAAUCUAGCUAAUUCCUUAGCCUGAAUGAUCAUUUAGGGGAAUAAACUCAACAGUCUUAAUUCCCUGCUGUAUGGAAGCUGUUUGGGUUCUAUAUGUUUUGAAUUUGGCAGGUUUUAUUUUACUUGAAUGUUCCCAAAUUAUAAGCUAUAGGAAUUAAUAACUAGUGACAUUCCAAAAAAAAACCAACCAACCCCAACCACAAAAAAACCCACAAAUGGGAGGAGGGGAAAAAGUAAUAAACUGAGAGCCUAGCAAUUUUUCAAGUUUUCUCUCUCCAUCAUCAAAAUGUUAGAAAAGGCAGAAGGGUAUUUUGAAAACUUCCCUUGCAGGAUCAUUUCAGGUGUCUCAGAAAUGUGGAGAUAAGGCUGGGUGAUGGAUGGGGCUCUGCUCUGCAUUUAUUAUGGGUGCUUUUGCUGAGAAUUUUUGCUGUGUCUUGGGGCAAUGAUGGAGGAAAGAGAGAAGCAGGAGCCACGUGAACUCAAGGACUUUCCAUGACUCCUGUGACAGGGGCAUCUCAGGUUUGAAAUAUGCUCAAAAAAUGGGUUGCUCUUAACAGGGCUGGCUAUCACACCUAUUUUGAGGGUAGGUGGAAGAGCUAGAGGAUGAGUGAGAGAUUUGUUCACAUUGCCAAAUGAGAGGGUGGAUUCUUUGCAAUGGAAAGAGUCUGACACAGCUCCUUCCCAGAAAUGCUGACGUUGUCCCUGUGUCUUUGCUUCUCCUGCUGCCGGCAAAACGCAGCAAAUGGCCAAGCUGGCAUCAGCUGAGGGACAAUGAAGUGGUCAAAAGCGGUGAGAGCUGUUGGUUUCCAAUAAAGUCAGAGGAAGUACCUGGCAGGGCAGACCUGUGAGUGGUGAGAUGAAGAAAAGCUUGUUCCUGUGUCUGAAAUAAGAGUGGAAAAGUUAAUUGAAGAAGUCUGGCUUUUGACCUAAGUGAGGAAAUGAAGUCAGGAGCUACCAGGCCACAGAAAGUAAUUUCUGCAGCUUUUGGUCUCGAAGGCUUGUUUAUUUUUGAAGUGUUUAGCAAAACCUUCUGUGGCAUGAACAUGCCAAAAUAGCAGCUUGCACUCACUCCUGAGCCCUCCAGCUGGUGACUCCCAGGGCCGGUCUCUGAGCGAGCCAGCCCACGCAGGUAGAUGCCACAGGAUGAAGAUGGGCUGCCUGUGCCUUCAAAGGAGAAGGGGACCUGGAGAACAUGGCUCAGUGUUUGUGUGACCAGUGCAACCUGGGGACACGUGAGGAGACCACAAGUGCCACAUUGCUUAUUUGCAGUCUGCACCUUGGUGUAGGCCAUGCAGGCCAGGGCUGGUAAUUAUACGUUGCCUGUGCAGAGAGCACGAUGUGAGCUCCUCUACGGCUGGUACGCUGAACAUCUUUGUCCACUCCAGCUCUCCAGUAAGCAAACAGGCCAGUGUUUUAAUUAAACUGAGUGUUCGUGGGCAUCCUGGACCUCCUCUUCAGAUCCUGCAUUCAGAGAAAAGGAAAAAGAAAAAUGUCAGCUCCAAGCAGCUGAACAUUCCCAGAUUGCAGCUGCUGGAACCUUCACCCUGCAAUACAAAGAACAGAUGCUGCAGUGAAAGCCACGAAGUUUCUCCCAGUAUUUUUGAUGGACUUUUCUGGCCACCUCCCCAAAAAGUUUAUUCCUCCAAGUUAAAGCACAAUAAAACAUAAAGAUAAGAUGUCAAGCUACUCUUUAAAUAUUUCAGAAGAUACAGGCUAAGGGCAUGAUGCACCCCAGGAUUCACAUUGCUACUAGAUGUUUGCUGCUUUUGAAGCCUGUUGUUUGAGGAAAAUCUGUACAGCCGUUUUAAAAAUCAUUAGCAACAGAAAAUAACACCGGUUUAUAUUUACACAGCACCGCUGCAGGACCUUCCAGGGACAGGGGACAACAACAACAUAAACUCCAAACAACAAAAGCAGACUGGCAGUGAUGUGUGUGUGCAAGAAAGGAAUGGCAGAUAUGUUUCACAGUGUUCAGGAGGUUGCACAAAUUGCUUCUGAGCCCCAAACAGGCCAAAUCCAACAAGUGGGUCCCAGUGAGUGCCAGUCCCUCGAGCGCAGCCAGUGAGGACUGCAGCUCAUGCUCUUCACCAGCCCUUUCUGCCUGGUGAAUUGACAGGCAAGUGCCAAGUAGUUUACUUUGAAACAUGCAGGGUAAGGGCUGCCUAGAAAUGGUUUGCCCCGAGUUACUGCUUCAGAUAGUGCCUUUCUCCCUAAGCAACCGAGUGUUGAUGCACACACCAUGGUGCCUUUCCCAGGGGUUUUUCAAGCCUGCUCAGAGCUCUCACGCAGUCAGCAUAGCCCAGUAAAGGCAUACAUACAUUAUUUUUCACAUUUCCCUUUUCCUGAAUGUUCCUGAGAUCAAAAGGAAUCAAAUGUCCAUAUAAGUAUUCACAGAGAGCAAUUCAAAACAACUUUUCAAAACAGUCACAGCAAAUUCUUGUUUGUUAUAAAUCACCAGCUGUAGGAACAGGACCUCUGUAAAUUAAAUAUAUGUGAAGAAAACAAACAAAUGAGAUUCUGCUUUGCAAAUGUAGCUAAUCGACAUGGGAACGUUAAUUCACAGGCACAGUGUUAUACAUGUAUAUAUGUGUGCAGGCAUGGCCAAAGUACCAGAAGACGGAGUUUGAGCCUAUCUGGCAUUUGUCGUUUGUGUCACCAGUACACUGAAGAAGCCAUUGCCAACUGCUUCUCAUGUACACCAGCUUAUGCACAACGCAGAAGAGACGGUACAGCUUCAAUCAUGCUGUGGUCAGUCAGAUGCCCUGAGUGUCAAAUAGCAUUAUUAAAAUAUUUUCUGAAAACCA
Long non-coding RNA from Falco peregrinus (peregrine falcon), 4188 nucleotides. RefSeq lists it as uncharacterized. Lineage: Eukaryota; Metazoa; Chordata; Aves; Falconiformes; Falconidae. The transcript has 2 exons. The record is from RefSeq and is a predicted model, not a curated record.